ACGCUCGACACCUACGGGUGGCAGCAGUGGGGAAUAUUGCACAAUGGAGGAAACUCUGAUGCAGCGAUGCCGCGUGAGGGAAGAAGGUUUUCGGAUUGUAAACCUCUGUCUUUGGGGACGAUAAUGACGGUACCCAAGGAGGAAGCUCCGGCUAACUACGUGCCAGCAGCCGCGGUAAUCUGAGCGGGCUGGCAAGGC
Molecule: ribosomal RNA, 198 nt
Filed under: uncultured bacterium
Lineage: Bacteria
Description: partial 16S ribosomal RNA
Rfam family: Bacterial small subunit ribosomal RNA
Source: RNAcentral